RNAcentral lists this long non-coding RNA (277 nucleotides) under Carica papaya (papaya). Its description in RNAcentral is "long non-coding RNA (CPAP_LNC007351)". The record is from RNAcentral. Lineage: Eukaryota; Viridiplantae; Streptophyta; Magnoliopsida; Brassicales; Caricaceae.
AAUAUUAUGAUUAACAUCCCUUACACAAUAACCAAAACGUAUUAAACAUAUGAAAGAAUAAACUAACUAAAGUAAAUACUAGAAAUGAAUACUAUAAGGAAAACUAUAAAAUCUUUAGGCAUCUACCCGCCGUCUUCCUGUGGAACGGGUUCGGGAACCAAGUCCUCCUUAUCUGAAAUAGUUAAGUAAGGAAUGAGGUACACUAGCGCAGUAAAGAUGUCACACUAUCUCACUGUCACAGAAGUAAAGGUUGGUAGAAAACCAAAACGACCAAUGG